This 73-nucleotide transfer RNA is filed under the name Camelus bactrianus (Bactrian camel). It matches the Rfam family "tRNA". Rfam says of the family: Transfer RNA (tRNA) molecules are approximately 80 nucleotides in length. Their secondary structure includes four short double-helical elements and three loops (D, anti-codon, and T loops). Further hydrogen bonds mediate the characteristic L-shaped molecular structure. tRNAs have two regions of fundamental functional importance: the anti-codon, which is responsible for specific mRNA codon recognition, and the 3' end, to which the tRNAs corresponding amino acid is attached (by aminoacyl-tRNA synthetases). tRNAs cope with the degeneracy of the genetic code in two manners: having more than one tRNA (with a specific anti-codon) for a particular amino acid; and 'wobble' base-pairing, i.e. permitting non-standard base-pairing at the 3rd anti-codon position. The record is from Rfam by way of RNAcentral. Lineage: Eukaryota; Metazoa; Chordata; Mammalia; Artiodactyla; Camelidae. RNAcentral also lists the same sequence under 2 other names.
GUGGGUAUAGCUCAGUGGUAGAACACAUGCUUAGUAUGCAAUAUGGUCCUAGGUUCAAUUCCUGGUAACUCCA